UUUCAAAUUAUUUGAUGGACUAAUUUGCAUUUUUCAAAUAGUUUCACAUGCCAAUUAAUUUCAGUCUAUGGUUAAUCUGCCCUUCCACAAGCAGCAUUAUGGAAAGACACUGAUAAACGUCAAACUUUGCCUGUUCUGAGUACAUCAGAGAGGGAGGCCAGGGCUGCUGGGGAACUGCAAAAUGGAAAACCUUCCUAGAGGAAAAAUAGAAAACUAAGAAAUGAGCUUUCUAAAAUCACCAAUCAAAAUGAAAAACAGCUUCAGCGAAGGAGGAUGAGAGCAGGUCACCUCACCUAAAUGAUACUGGAUGCCAUAACAUCACCAUAACAGUGAUCCCAAAGGAUUUAAUCAGAUUACAGAAAAGAAAUAUGAAUUGGGGAACGACAUCAGAUGGAGGACCAGUAUGGAGGUAUCAGACAGCGCUGAGAAACAGGAUCUGCUGGGUUGCUGGCCAGAGUUGGGCACAUGUGAAAAGUUUUAAGGGUCAACAUUUGUAGACCUUUUGUAUUGCCAGUUGGGCACUAAUGAGAGAGCAUCAAUAGAUCAGGAACACCUGCAUCCACACUUCUUUCCCUGUCCACAGUUCACCAUGGUAGGCACUGCCCUCUGAAACAAGCUCACGCAUAGCAAGCAGGAGUAUGUAAAAGGAUGCCUCUUCCUGUGUCCUCUAAACUGUGUCAUGAAUGCUGUCCUGGAAAACCACUGUAUCUUCACAUAAAUAGUCCUUACAGAAGGAUGCUGUAAGCAGUAUCAAAUUAGCUGCCAUAGAAUUUGGCCACUUAAUGCUUCUGCUGUCAAUGUCACACCCCAUGCUGAGUCACUGUGAAGUGAUUGAGCUGAUAUAAGCAAAUGCAUUGACUAAGUCAUUCAUUUACAUCCUGCUGCCAUGAGUCUAAGAAACUGCUAAAUGUAUUAAAUAAUCAAUCCACUCAGCAGCUGAUGAUGCAGAAGUAGAAAUUAAGUCCUACUAGGUUUUUAUUAUUGCUGUCAGAGAGGCUCUUUGGAUGCUCUGAACGUGUGCAAAAGGAUAACAAUUCAACAAAUAUAGCUCACAUUUAGAAAAGUCUGAAUGACUUUUGAAAGAAAAGACAUAAUAAUACAAAGAAACUGGAGAGAUAAUAACAUAUGGUUAUUUGUUAGGGGAUGCAGCAUUCUGUGAGUCCACUGUACAGAUUUGAAAUGUGUGGACUACAGUAUGUGUCUGGCUGUUCAAUGCUUAAUGCAUUAAUGAUACAGAAUUUUCUGUAGGUUACAAAUUAUUCACUGACAGGGAUAUAUGGACAGCAUCACUCUGUAUUAUUUUUUACAGUCAUGUCAUUAUGCAAUAUACAUAAUUCUAAAAUGUCAAAAAAAAACCCCAUUAGUUAGGGAAAAGGCAAUGCAAGGACUCACCAGAGAGUGCUAAAGAACCAAAGGAAUCAAAAACAUUUCAUGCCCCAUGGAGCUUUGUUAUAUGGAUAUUUCAGUUCUGUGACUCUUGUAAACUUCACCAGAGGUAAGAACAUUGAGAUCAUAAAUGCUAGUUACAGCCACCAUCAUUUAACUUUUAUGUUAGUUUUACUUGUCUGGUGUAGGGCUUAGGUCUAUGUCACAUCCAGAAUUAUUCUCUAUGUUAAUUCUGAACUGGACCUUGUAAAAGCAAAGACAAAAAUGUUUUGGGAAUAACAAUGCAACGUGUCUGAUUAUCUGUCUACUCAUAUCCAGCAGACCAAAUUGUGAAGAUUCAUUAACGUGCCUCUGUUCCACUUACACACAGGCAUAGACAGAUAUAUAAAAUAGAGAAUAUAUGCUCAGUGUUCUCUGAACAGUGGGCCUUAUUGAUAUCACACACUGACAUCAAAACUUGACUUUACAGAGGUCACAGCAAAACUCCCAAUGAUGAAAAAGGGCACAAGUUUCACUUCUAGAGCUUUACUCUGCUUUCUCCUCUUUCAUGGUAAGAAUGAGUGUAAUGAGAAGCCCACUCUGAAACAAAAUUUUUAAAGGUUGGUCUGAUAUUUUGCUUUGGAGUAGUAUUUAUGAACUGAACAUUAUCAUAAACAGCCUGGUUAGAAGGAAAAUUUAUUGCUAUACAGAGAGCUGAUAAAUAAUACCAGAAAACAAAGCAAAAAAAAUUCUCAAGUGUUUAAUAUAAUUGCUUUUAUUUGUGAGAAAAUUAGUCCAUUCUCUUUAAAGUGUGUCAUUUGGAAGUAGCAGCAACACUCCUAUUUCUAAUGAAGUGUAGGCGGUGGAAUGGAAACAUCUGCAAAACAGCACUUCUACAGUAAAUGUAAAGGGAUUGCCAAAGACAUGAAUAUUUGAUCCUAUGAUUUAAACAAGAGAAAUAUCAAAACAAGAGUACUACUGAGACUUGCAUAAAGGCUAAAAAUAACUUGAUACAGGAAAUAUAAAAACAUCUAGUUCAGAAGGAACUGAAAAAUAAAUCAUACCACUUUAGGAAGGCCUAUAAAAAAGAGAAGCAAACAAUUAGAAAUGUAAGAGGGCAUAAAAGAAAGCAAACGAGGUGAAAACAUAGGUCAUAAUUUUAAAAAUAGAAGGAAAUCAGAACAAAUGAUUAAUCAAAUUAAACUGAUUAGCAAGCACAGUAAUAAAAGCAUACCAAGAGAAGGAGAAGGACUGUUUAGGGCACUACAGCACGAACAGCUCAGCAGGGAUGGUCUAGAGAGGUGGUCUUUACUGUAGCUAUAUUCCUGUACUAGAUUUGUUUACCAAAAUAGUUUCACAAAAUGCUUUCAUAGAGGACAAGGAAAAAAUAAUUCUUCACAUGGUAUUAGCUCCUCCUGGGUUUGGAUGCUAUAUAUUGAUGAAAGACAUGCAAAACAUGUAUCAGUAUUUGUUAUUUUUCCAGACAGACAGCUACUACAUGGGAUUCCCAUUGCCAUAAGGUAUCCCAUGGCAUUCAUCCCAAAGGGUAGAAUGAGCUGGCCUCACAAAUGUGAAAAUUUAAAAAGCAGCGCAUGUAUUGCAAAUGAGACAAGAUAAAGGUCAACAGAGUAAUUUCCUUAACAAAGUUACUCUGGAAGAAAGUUCAAGACUUUUUUUCAGCAUUGCACUAGUCAAUGAGAAUUAGAACUUUCAUGAAAUCUCCUUUUCCCCUUGGUUAAAAAAACCAACAUAAAUACAGUGAAAUUUGUCGGAUAAGAAUUAAGAUUUCCAAGCAACAACCAUUCAUCCCCAUUACAUUAAAUCCCCAGCUGCCAAAAGGUGCUUUUUUGUACCAUAGAUAGCUCCCAUUGCUCUCAAAUUGCUUUACUGCACUGCUUUAGUUUGUUGAUUCACUACAGAUUUAAAGGUAAUGAGUCUGGCACUGUCCAAAGCACCUCAUGAUCCUUCCUCAUACUCAGCUAAACACAAUUAGGCUGGAGAAAUCCAGUGCCAUUGAGUUCUCAUGGUGAUUAGUGGCAGCCUGAAAGAGUCAAGAGUGAAAAGAGAGCCUCAAAGGGGGUCUUUGCUAAGCCAAAUAGGUGGUUGCAAAGAAUUAGCUCCUUAUUGCAAGUCAAAAUUCAACCAUACUAAAAGCCUGCUUACAGCACAGUUGCUAAGAAAGCUUCCCACAAGAAUGCUACAAAGAAUUGACCAAAAUUCACCUGUCAUAGGAAAUAGAUGAUAAGGAAUAGAGAAAGGGAGGAAAAACAAAUGCUAAGGAGAACAUAAUAGAUUGUGAAUGCAAAGAAAAAUUUUAGAAUUAUAGUUUAACAUAUAGUUAUGUGACUAUAUAAAUAAACUAUAAAUAGUUUCUAAAUGUAGUUUACCAUAUAUUUAAAAUUUAAGUUUGCUUGCGUUGGCUUUACUAUUGCCAAUGGUACUGCUGCUCUUCUAUUGCCUGUUAUUGCCUGGGACCCUGAUUUGUUGCCUCUGUUGAUUUUGGCUGUCGGUUCCCAGAAUUUGAUUGAUUAUUGUGAGCAGUGAGAGAAUUCUCUGGUGAAAAACAGCCACAUGCUAGAAUUUACCAAAACAAAUAAUUGGUAGGAUUGUGAAUUUAUACUUUCUGUGUACAGUGUAGGAAUCUAAAAUGAAUAUGAAACCUAGCUUUAUAGGCUGUUUCUUUAAACUGGGUCAAGGAAAGAUUAUGGUUACAUCAUUCAGUUUGCUGCACAGUUGAGCAGCUGAGGAACUUUCCCAUUUAUUUGAUAAUUAUUAUGGACUAUGGAAAUCUCAACAUCACGCCAUGCUUACUGUCAGAGCCUCCAGGACUUCAGAACGGAGAUUAUACUGCAGUGAUGUCACUUGUAGGCUGAAUAUAAACACUGUAAGUGUAGAUAUAAGGGGGAUAGUUACAUAAAAUUAAUAGCAAAAAAAUGUCUUUGUACUCCCUGAAGCAAGCAACAAAAGCGUCUUUGUGUGUGCAGUUCUACACAGAUUGCUGUUGCCAGCCAAUUGGGCUAUGACCUAGAACUUAGCCAACUAUAAAACCAAAAAUAAACUACAAAGAGAGCAACUCUUCACACUGAUGGUAAGUUCUCAGAGGCUAGAUCAUAAAAAGAAUAAAGUUUUCAGUAUAACAUAAUAGAAUUAUCUCACUAUCUCAUCAUUUCUGAUUUUGUUAAUACAGACAAAAUGAAGGACUGUAAAAAAAAAUCAAUCUGCUUUUAUCUAAAGUCUUUAUACCACGAACAAUCCAAGAACAGCAGGGUUUGUGAAUUCUGGAGCAAGACUGAUAUAGAAGAUCUGUUUUAAUGGUAAAAUCACAGCUGCAUUGCCUUCAUGAGCACAACAGGUUUACAAGGUGGAUCUGAGUACAUAGUUAGUUUUUAUAUGCCAGUGUGAUGGGAUAUGAGAGGCUGUUGUAGGUCUGUCCUUUCCAAUUACUGAGUUUAUCUGCUUAUGUUUGAGCUCAGACUUUUGUCAUAAGCACCAUAAAAGGUGGAAACUGCAUAAUUUCUCUGCUGUUACACCUGAUGAUCAAGUACUGCCUAGCACAUUCCCUGCAUUUAUGUCAGCUUUUCUUCAUUUUGCUGCUAAUCUCUAGUUGAGAGCUUACACAGCCCGGGAGCAGUGUCAUACUGCUCAUUCUUUCAAACUCAUCUUUUGUUGUUCCUUACAGCUGUGCAAAAUGGAUCUCAUGGAACUGUUCGGUGCAAGAUGAUAUUUAAAGCUCCUUUUCUGCACAAGAGGAGAUGACCCCACUGACAGCGAACUUCCAACAGAAGGUUCCUAAUCCUGAAGUGCUAGCCCAGUGAGAUAUUAAAGGAAAUAUGGGGGCAAUGGGUAUCAGAUGCACAACAUUCUGAGGAAUGUUAAACCCCUAGUAGAGCAAGGUUAAAUCCAGAAAAGCCAGUUACAACUCUGUGUCUUGCAGACAGAGUCACUCUUUGGGGCUACCUGGGGCUACCUGUGACUGCCUGCUCAUAAAUUUGGAAAUCACAGCCAAGAGAUGCUAAGCACUUCCCUAAUAUUCACUCUCAGUGAGAGCUAGCAUCAGGGUUUUUGGAGCCUAUCCCUGGGUUAAAGUAAGAAGCCUUCCCUUUUUCUCUCCAACUCUACUGUGACUUGCAUGACUACAUAACAGUCCCAGGGAUGCCCAUCAAGCCCUGAUUGCUCACCCCUAAAACCAGCUCUGCAACCAGCCACUAUUGCUUGUCUGGCUGUCUCUCUUAAGAACCCAGGGCAGAGAAAGGUGCUCUUGUUCAUUGUGAUAGAGCUUAAAGAGAAAAAUUCCAACAGCUUUUGUAUUACCAAAAUGUUUUGCCCUUUGUAGAAAGCCCUGAGCAGCAUACCAACAAAAACAUGACCUUCCUGCACAAAUAAUGACAUAUGGAAAGGCAGCUCCUUCUGCAGGGCAGUGGGAACUUUAGGUUAUGAGUGAUGAAAAUCUUCAAGGGCACUUUGCUUGAAAUGGUGCUGUGUACUUUCUCUGCCCUAGUGCAGACACACCACUUAUCACUCUAAUUGAAUCAGUGAAUUAUUCUUAUAGACAAAAGCAGGCAUUGGCAUUCCUGGAAGGCUGUGGAAGAUGCAGGGAUAAAGACAAGUAGGUCCUCACUGUCUGGAGCACUAUGUCAGUGUCAUUUCAUGUACGUGUAGUGCUAACACCCAUGCUAUGGUAGCACUCUGAGACAAAGUGACAUUCUUAUGUAUCUAGAUGUGUUACCUCCCACAUGAAGGGACCUUUUUCUUCUUUGUGGGACAUAACUUCAGCAUGUACAAUAAUGCUUUUCUCAUUGGGCUCAGAGACCCAUAGCAAUUCCCAAAACCUGAACAUCUGAUCACCAUUGUUCUGGUUUUCCUUUAUAAUUUUUAUGGUUUUUACAGUUUUGUAUAAAUGGCCUUCAUAUUUCAAUGUCUCAGUUCAUUACAAUGACCAAGGGACAAUUCCCUUUUAGUUUGGGAUACCUGAAGCUCACCAUGCAGAAUGGCUCAAACUUCAGCAGGAAAAGAGACUGGUGCCCACCCUCUGCUGGCACAUCCAGCUAGGACAGCACUUGGUCAUUCAGCCCCUUCUCGGCUGACAAAAACUUGACUCCUACUCCCUCCUCUAGAAGUAUUAAGGUAUUUUCAAUGAUGACUAGGUGCAGAACACCAGAAUUUCAUCUUCUUUUAGGUCCCUAAGUGCCAGGAUGGGAAAAAGUUCAACCAUACUUUGCCAGGUAUCAUUUCUCACGGGUAAGCAGCUCAGUUUGUCACCAGCUGUCUCUGCCAAGAGGCACCCAGGGCUCUGCAGCUGCGUACAACAUUCCUGUGUGGAAAGCUGAGUGCCUGACCUGUCUGCUCAAGACCAUCAUGCAGGGACAGCUGCCACACUGUUAGGUAGUGCAACAUUUCAUGGCAGUGCCUAAACAGGAGACUGGCCACAGCCUCUCUGCUCCUCCCAGCUAAAAGGACAAUUUAUUGGUAAUUCAGUGUCUCACUUUUCUUAGAUUGCAUGUAUUUUGGGGUCCUGAGUUCUGAAAAUUUGAGGCCAACAGCACUCUGAAUAUUUAAUGACUUAAAUACGAGCUAUGUGUAUAAAACACAGUGGUUUUUUUCAGAUCCUAAUCAAACUGGGGUGGGGACUUUUCUUUGUAGGUGGCCUGCAGUCGCCUAAAAUCCACAAGACAUGUUGCUCAGUGAAUUCUGUUGGUAGAAUACUGGCAGCAAAUGAAACUCCAAGACAUGGGUGAGGCCAACUCAUACUAAAAAUGUGAGAAAUAUUAGAGGACUUUUACUCAUCCAUUUUUCACUGGGGAUGUGAGUGUUUGGCACAAAAUAUUGUAAGUUGAUAUCAUAUUUGGCCCUGUGAUUGAUGCUCAUAUCUCUGCUACUGAAGUCCAAAUUAUGGAAUUACUUUUGUCAUCUUGGGGCACCCUCUAAAGAUAACCUGAAAUGGAAAAACUCAGGAACUAGCUCUUCUCCAGAAGCAAAACAACUAUAAGUAGUUGUGCAGAAACAGACUCACUUUAAUCCCAGAAAUAAAAAGGGAAUAGAGUUGGUAGGAGAAAAAGAGACAUGUUGUGAAACAAAUAUUCUCCGUAUUGCCUCCAGUCCAGCUGGGAGGAAUUCCCUGGGCAUUUUACCAACAGAAUACUUAUAGUGAAAAUAAAUAAAGCAAUCUAUGUAUGUUUGAGAUACAGAUACAAUUAAUUUAAAAAACCCAAACAACAAACCACCAAACAACCCAAUGCCGAGAAAUCCACAUCCCAAUCCAAUCAGUAAGAGUCAAAAAAUCAGCUUCAGAAAAUAACCCUUCUUGGAUCAUUGUGUAUGUGUGUGUGUGUGUGUGUGUGUACUUCUUCUGGGUCAAAUGUAGUAGACAAGGAAAGCAGAUUAUUGAGGCUGAGAAAGAAAACUCUAAUAAAACACCACAACCAUCAGUUCUGUGCUGCUUAUGACAUCUCUGGGGUUUUCUUGGUUUUUUGAUUUUAUUUUAUAUUAUCUGGAAACAUAUAUUUAGAAAAAAGUGUCAGUGAAAAUCUGUUUAACUUCAUAACCAUAGAUCCUUUAGAGUUUUCUUUUUUUAUUUUUUACACAGAAUAAAACCUGAUGUGGAAUGGAGGAGUGAAAGGAUGUCUGUUUGUAAGAAAAAUAAAGUAAAUGAGUAAAAUUACAAACAAGUGGAAAAAAAGUUUUAUUUCCACAUGAAUGAAAAGUCUCACUGAGCUAAGAUGAAAAAUAUUCAAUUUUAGUUUAUAAAAACUUCUCCAUGCAAAGAAUGAUAAGUUGCAAGUGCUACUUCUUGUAUAAGGCUUGGUGAUUUUAAACCAUUAUUUUUUGGCAGUCACCCUAAUCUGAUUUUCCAAUGCAUUGUUUCCCUCUCAGCCCAUUAUCAUUUAUUAC
Molecule: long non-coding RNA, 8253 nt
Organism: Zonotrichia albicollis (white-throated sparrow)
Lineage: Eukaryota; Metazoa; Chordata; Aves; Passeriformes; Passerellidae
Source: RefSeq, a predicted model, not a curated record